AUCUGCCUUGGCUUGAUCAUAUUAUCAGCACAAAACCCAACAUCUUAUAUCCAGCCUUGUAUGAUGUUUAUGUCUUCUAAUUUUUCACAUGGUCAUGACAGACCAUGGACAUACCAAUGUCAUUUCCACCUUCAUUAUGAUCGGCAUCAUCCAAUAUUCAGAAAUUCAUUGCCUCAACAAUUCAGGCUGUGAUGAAACUUCUGGAGAAUCAACACAAUAAGAGUAGUUGACUGUUGGACUUUUAUAGGAAGAAAUGGACAGUCUAGUUUUUGACCUCCUAAAGUAUAAGCAGCCUUAAAAGUUGUACUGUUUCUCCAGUGGCUCAGAAAUGCCCAGGAAUUUUUACAAAACAUUUUUAAUGCAAAUCAUGGAAAACUAGUAUCUGGAGAUCAGGUUGUUCUAGAAUUGAUCCUUCAUGUUAGAGGAAGAAUGUCUGCAAGUGUGGAAACAGAAGGCAACGUGAUAGUGAUAAUGCAAUGAAAGAGUUCAAGGUCUUUAAAGAAAGAAGAUGUAUGACUUAAAAAAAAAGUAUGCAUUUCAAGCAGGCAGCAUCAAUAGUGUCAGAGAAUUCUUAGGAGGAAAGAUUUACAGAGGAAGGAUAUGAAGAAAUUAUUGAAGUAAAGAAGUUUCUGUACAGAAACAAGUAAAAAUCAUACCAAUACAAAGGAACAGUAGGAAAUGCACAAGAGAAUCAUUUCACAAAACUAACAGCUGUUUAGUGACCAAAAAAUUCCAAAAGAAGAAUCCAGAAAUGUUGGGACAAAUUCAGAAUUCCUGACGAGCAAAACAAGAUGCCGUUCACAAGAUGCAUGAAAGAGUUGAGAUUUCAGAAGACCAGAGAAGUGCAAAUGCAAGGUGGAUGAAACCAAGGCAAGAGAUCCAAGAAAUUCUACUCCAGUCAUCUUUACUUCACCUCUCUGUGAGGGACAGUGAAACAGACUAUUCAUAGGCACCUCAAAGAAGACCAGAAGGUAUUUAGGCAGCAUGGUUCAAAGAAAAAUCAUGUCCCACCAUUUCAUCUAUGAGACAGUGUACUAGCCUAGGACAAGAGAGAGGCAUUAGACAUUACUACUCCUAAAUAAAUGCUACACUGCUUUGUCA
RNAcentral lists this long non-coding RNA (1101 nucleotides) under Numida meleagris (helmeted guineafowl). RNAcentral's name for it is "lncRNA (ENSNMEG00000016815.1)". Lineage: Eukaryota; Metazoa; Chordata; Aves; Galliformes; Numididae. The record is from RNAcentral.